CAGCAGUGGGGAAUAUUGCACAAUGGGCGCAAGCCUGAUGCAGCCAUGCCGCGUGUGUGAAGAAGGCCUUCGGGUUGUAAAGCACUUUCAGUCGUGAGGAAGGUAGUGUAGUUAAUAGCUGCAUUAUUUGACGUUUAGCGACAGAAGAAGCACCGGCUAACUCCGUGCCAGCAGCCGCGGUAAUACGGAGGGUGCGAGCGUUAAUCGGAAUUACUGGGCGUAAAGCGCAUGCAGGUGGUUUGUUAAGUCAGAUGUGAAAGCCCGGGGCUCAACCUCGGAAUAGCAUUUGAAACUGGCAGACUAGAGUACUGUAGAGGGGGUAGAAUUUCAGGUGUAGCGGUGAAAUGCGUAGAGAUCUGAAGGAAUACCGGUGGCGAAGGCGGCCCCCUGGACAGAUACUGACACUCAGAUGCGAAAGCGUGGGGAGCAAACAGGAUUAGAUACCCCUGGUAG
This 453-nucleotide ribosomal RNA is filed under the name uncultured bacterium. RNAcentral's name for it is "bacterial SSU rRNA". It matches the Rfam family "Bacterial small subunit ribosomal RNA", at positions 349 to 793 of the family's 1533-position model. The record is from RNAcentral.